UACCUUACUACAUGGAUACCUGUGGUAAUUCUAGAGCUAAUACAUGCUACAAACCCCGACUUCAGAAGGGGUGUAUUUAUUAGAUAAAAAACCAACGCCCUUCGGGGCUCCUUGGUGAAUCAUAAUAACUUAACGAAUCGCAUGCCUUGCGCCGGCGAUGGUUCAUUCAAAUUUCUGCCCUAUCAACUUUCGAUGGUAGGAUAGUGGCCUACCAUGGUGGCAAGGGUAACGGGGAAUUAGGGUUCGAUUCCGGAGAGGGAGCCUGAGAAACGGCUACCACAUCCAAGGAAGGCAGCAGGCGCCAAAUUACCCAAUCCCGAUACGGGGAGGUAGUGACAAUAAAUACUGAUACGGGGCUCUUUCGGGUCUCGUAAUUGGAAUAGAACAAUUUAAAUCCCUUAACGAGGAACAAUUGGAGGGCAAGUCUGGUGCCAGCAGCCGCGGUAAUUCCAGCUCCAAUGCGUAUAUUAAAGUUGUUGCAGUUAAAAAGCUCGUAGUUGAACCUUGGGCCUGGCUGGCCGGUCCGCCUCACCGCGAGUCUGGUCCGGCUGGGCCUUUCCUUCUGGGGAACCUCAUGGCCUUCACUGGCUGUGGGGGGAACCAGGACUUUUACUGUGAAAAAUUAGAGUGUUCAAAGCAGGCCUUUGCUCGAAUACAUUAGCAUGGAAUAAUAGAAUAGGACGUGCGGUUCUAUUUUUUGGUUUCUAGGACCGCCGUAAUGAUUAAUAGGGAUAGUCGGGGGCGUCAGUAUUCAGCUGUCAGAGGUGAAAUUCUUGAUUUGCUGAAGACUAACUACUGCGAAAGCAUUCGCCAAGGAUGUUUUCAUUAAUCAGGGAACGAAAGUUAGGGGAUCGAGACGAUCAGAUACCGUCGUAGUCUUAACCAUAAACUAUGCCGACUAGGGAUCGGACGGGAUUCUAUGAUGACCCGUUCGCACCUUACGAGAAAUCAAAGUUUUUGGGUUCUGGGGGGAGUAUGGUCGCAAGGCUGAAACUUAAAGAAAUUGACGGAAGGCACCACAAGGCGUGGAGCCUGCGGCUUAAUUUGACUCAACACGGGGAAACUCACC
Molecule: ribosomal RNA, 1069 nt
Filed under: Penicillium citrinum
Lineage: Eukaryota; Fungi; Ascomycota; Eurotiomycetes; Eurotiales; Aspergillaceae
Description: SSU rRNA
Rfam family: Eukaryotic small subunit ribosomal RNA
Source: RNAcentral